Suricata suricatta (meerkat) is the source of this 337-nucleotide long non-coding RNA. RefSeq lists it as uncharacterized. Lineage: Eukaryota; Metazoa; Chordata; Mammalia; Carnivora; Herpestidae. The transcript has 3 exons. The record is from RefSeq and is a predicted model, not a curated record.
GGAGGGCGAGGGAAGCGCGUUCAGGGCAGGCGGAAGAAGUUCGAGAAGUCCCUCAGGGUGCGUGCAGUACAGGUGGUGAUGCUUUUAGGUGCAGCCCAUCCCCCUGGGCUAAGGAAGCCGCGUAGAAAACGAGGAAAAUGAUUGACAAACAAAAGAGUCUGGCCCGUUGGCACUCAUUUUCUUCUGGCAUUUCCAGGGUUCUGACAAGAGGGCUCCAGAGACACGACGGAGGCGUGCUCCGAAUCAACGUCAGCACCCACGUGCACAAACUUCCUCCAACUGCUUCCUUGUUUCCCAGGCUCCUCUUAACUUCAGUUACUGUAUUUUUGGUUCCAGA